This 108-nucleotide non-coding RNA is filed under the name Detonula confervacea. The record is from RNAcentral. Lineage: Eukaryota; Bacillariophyta; Thalassiosirophyceae; Thalassiosirales; Thalassiosiraceae.
GCUGUUGCUAGUUUUAGUUCGCCAUAUUUCGACAGAGAUGGGCUAUGGGCGAUGGGCAUUGGCAUUGUCCUUGGUCUGAUCGUCCUUUUGGUUCUUACUGCAUUUCCU